This 2013-nucleotide ribosomal RNA is filed under the name human gut metagenome. RNAcentral's name for it is "bacterial LSU rRNA". It matches the Rfam family "Bacterial large subunit ribosomal RNA", at positions 826 to 2925 of the family's 2925-position model. The record is from RNAcentral.
AUUCCAAUCGAACUCGGAGAUAGCUGGUUCUCCCCGAAAUAGCUUUAGGGCUAGCCUCAUGUUAGAUAUCCGGAGGUAAAGCACUGAAUGGCCUAGCGUCCGAGAGGAUAGCGAAGCCUAUCAAACUAAGAAUGCCGGAAUAUUGAUGCAUGGGAGUCAGACAGUGUGAGAUAAAUCUCAUUGUCAAAAGGGAAACAGCCCAGAUCUACAGCUAAGGUCCCAAAUUGUAUCUAAGUGGAAAACGAUGUGGAAAUACGCAGACAACCAGGAUGUUGGCUCAGAAGCAGCCACUCAUUUAAAGAGUGCGUAAUAGCUCACUGGUCGAGCGUCUCUGCGCGGAAAAUUUAACGGGGCUAAGAUACAAACCGAAGCUUAGGCUGCACUUUUAGUGCGGGGUAGGGGAGCGUUGUGUAAGCGGAGAAACAGUAGCGAAAGCGGCUGUGGAGUUUACAGAAGUGAGAAUGCCGGAAUGAGUAGCGCGAAUGAUGUGAGAAUCAUCAUGGCCGGAAACCUCAGGUUUUUGGAGGAAGGUUCGUCCGCUCCAAGUUAGGCGGGAGCUAAGGUGAGGCCGAAAGGCGUAGCCGAUGCACAGACGGUAGAGAUUCCGUCCCCACCGAAAGAUUUAAGCGCAGGGACACUUUUAGAAGGUCGGAGCCAGGUGUUGGUUCUGGUAGAGAUCGAGGGAAAUUUAGUACCGAAGUCCGGCUGGAUAAGAGGCGAGAAAAGCUGCGUGUAUAUCUAAGGUGCCCGUACCGCAAACCGACACAGGUAGGUAGGAAGAAGAUUCUAAGGCCAACGGGAGAAGGGUUGUUAAGGAACUCGGCAAGUUGACCCCGUAACUUCGGAAUAAGGGGUGCUCAUGAAAGUGAGCCGCAGAGAAUAGGCCCAGGCAACUGUUUACCAAAAACACAGGUUUGUGCUAAAUCGAAAGAUGACGUAUACGAGCUGACGCCUGCCCGGUGCUGGAAGGUUAAAAGGAGAUGUGCAAGCAUUGAAUUGAAGCCCCAGUGAACGGCGGCCGUAACUAUAACGGUCCUAAGGUAGCGAAAUUCCUUGUCAGGUAAGUUCUGACCCGCAUGAAAGGCGUAAUGAUCUGGGCACUGUCUCAACAGCCCGCCCGGCGAAAUUGUAGUACCGGUGAAGAUGCCGGUUACCCGCGACAAGACGGAAAGACCCCAUGGAGCUUUACUGUAGCCUAAUAUUGGGUUUCGGUGUUGCAUGCACAGGAUAGAUGGGACGCUGGGAAGUGAGUGCUUUGGCAUUCAUGGAGCGGCCGUUGGGAUACCAUCCUUGCGACAUUGGAAUUCUAACCUGCGCCUCUGAAUCGAGGCGGGGGACAUUGUCAGGUGGGCAGUUUGACUGGGGCGGUCGCCUCCUAAAAAGUAGCGGAGGCGUUCAAAGGUUCGUUCGAUCUGGACGGAAACCAGAUGAUUGAGUGCAAACGCAUAAACGAGCCUGACUGCGAGACUGACGGGUCGAGCAGAGACGAAAGUCGGAGUUAGUGAUCCGGUGGUAUGUGAGUGGAAAUGCCAUCGCUCAACGGAUAAAAGUUACCCUGGGGAUAACAGGCUGAUCUCCCCCAAGAGUCCACAUCGACGGGGAGGUUUGGCACCUCGAUGUCGGCUCAUCGCAUCCUGGGGCUGAAUUCGGUCCCAAGGGUUUGGCUGUUCGCCAAUUAAAGCGGUACGCGAGCUGGGUUCAGAACGUCGUGAGACAGUUCGGUCCCUAUCUGUCGUGGGCGCAGGAUAUUUGAAAGGCGCUGUCCCUAGUACGAGAGGACCGGGAUGGACGAACCUCUGGUGCACCAGUUGUCACGCCAGUGGCACAGCUGGGCAGCUAUGUUCGGAUCGGAUAAACGCUGAAAGCAUCUAAGCGUGAAGCCGGCCUUAAGAUAAGAUAUCCCACUGAGUCAAUCAGGUAAGACCCCUUGAAGACUACAAGGUUGAUAGGCACACAGUGUAAGCGGAGUGAUCCGUUCAGCUAGCGUGUACUAAUAGGUCGAGGGCUUGACCC